CAGCCGCCACGGUAAUACGUAGGGUGCAAGCGUUAAUCGGAAUUACUGGGCGUAAAGCGUGCGCAGGCGGUUAUAUAAGACAGAUGUGAAAUCCCCGGGCUCAACCUGGGAACUGCAUUUGUGACUGUAUAGCUAGAGUACGGCAGAGGGGGAUGGAAUUCCGCGUGUAGCAGUGAAAUGCGUAGAUAUGCGGAGGAACACCGAUGGCGAAGGCAAUCCCCUGGGCCUGUACUGACGCUCAUGCACGAAAGCGUGGGGAGCAAACAGGAUUAGAUACCCGAGUAGUCUGUCUCUUAUACAA
This 301-nucleotide ribosomal RNA is filed under the name uncultured bacterium. Its description in RNAcentral is "partial 16S ribosomal RNA". It matches the Rfam family "Bacterial small subunit ribosomal RNA", at positions 509 to 809 of the family's 1533-position model. The record is from RNAcentral.